AGUCGGACUAGUCGGAGCCGGUCGCUCCUUGUACGAGCGUCGUGACGUUGGCUUACUUUGGCGUUUCUCACGCAUCUCUCGAUUCUCAACGACGCGAACUGUCAACCGCCCGCGGUCGCCGUCGCACUCGAAACGCCACUCAUUCGGUUCACCCAUCGCGUUGUUAGUGCUCUGUCCGUUUUGUGCGCGAUCCACAAGUGUGUCCAGUGUGUCCAGUGUGUGAUUGAUAAUGAAUAAUGAACGCGGCAACGAGAGAUAGGACCACAUAGCAAUUUGUUUGAUACGUCUUCACAGCGGCGAUUUUCACGCGCACAGAGGCGACGUCGCAUCGAUCUAGACGGUUGCUGAUCUGGAAAUCUUGGAGAUCUCUCGCUUUCCUGCGCAUAUUCUCUGCGUACGUGGGAGGUCGAAGUUUUCGCCGAUAAUCCAACUUAGCAUCUGCCGCUUAACAAGGUAUAAUUAUCAAAGAUACGAAGAGGACCGUUUCCUGAGCAGAUAUUUGCCUCAUAAGAAGCAUUUCGGAUAGUCUGGCCGAUUCCUAAGAUCGGAGUAAGCCGAUAUUCUAUGGAGAUGCACUCACUGUACGUGAUCGUGAGGUCCAAGAAUGCGGUGACGUUGAGAAACUGCUUAAUCCGAAAAUACAUAUCGUAAUGCACAUAUACAAGUAUUAGUUAAAAUAUAAAAAAUUAUAUCCAGCGUCUACAACACUAAUUCAUAUUGAUGGAAAACCAUUUCGCCAUUCUACAUUGGCAUAACGGAGAACCAAAUGCGACAUAUCGAUUGAUAAACGUAUAACAUUACAUUAUUAAAACUCUGCCUUGUUUAAAAACUGGUAGACAUUUGCAAC
This is a long non-coding RNA of Trachymyrmex cornetzi, 847 nucleotides long. RefSeq lists it as uncharacterized. The record is from RefSeq and is a predicted model, not a curated record. NCBI's taxonomy places the organism in Eukaryota, Metazoa, Arthropoda, Insecta, Hymenoptera, Formicidae. The transcript has 4 exons.